RNAcentral lists this ribosomal RNA (583 nucleotides) under uncultured bacterium. Its description in RNAcentral is "partial 16S ribosomal RNA". It matches the Rfam family "Bacterial small subunit ribosomal RNA", at positions 355 to 1375 of the family's 1533-position model. The record is from RNAcentral.
UGGGGAAUUUUGGACAAUGGGCGAAAGCCUGAUCCAGCAAUGCCGCGUGUGUGAAGAAGGCCUUCGGGUUGUAAAGCACUUUUGUCCGGAAAGAAAUCCUUGGCUCUAAUACAGUCGGGGGAUGACGGUACCGGAAGAAUAAGCACCGGCUAACUACGUGCCAGCAGCCGCGGUAAUACGUAGGGUGCAAGCGUUAAUCGGAAUUACUGGGCGUAAAGCGUGCGCAGGCGGUUUGCUAAGACCGAUGUGAAAUCCCCGGGCUCAACCUGGGAACUGCAUUGGUGACUGGCAGGCUAGAGUAUGGCAGAGGGGGGUAGAAUUCCACGUGUAGCAGUGAAAUGCGUAGAGAUGUGGAGGAAUACCGAUGGCGAAGGCAGCCCCCUGGGCCAAUACUGACGCUCAUGCACGAAAGCGUGGGGAGCAAACAGGAUUAGAUACCCUGGUAGUCCACGCCCCAAACGAUGUCAACUAGUUGUUGGGGAUUCAUUCCUUAGUAACGUGCUAACGCGUGAAGUUGACCGCCUGGGGAGUACGGUCGCAAGAUUAAAACUCAAAGGAAUUGACGGGGUCAUAGCUGUUUCCU